AACGAACGCUGGCGGCAUGCCUAACACAUGCAAGUCGAACGAGACCUCCGGGCCUAGUGGCGCACGGGUGCGUAACGCGUGGGAACCUGCCCUUAGGUUCGGAAUACCUCCCCGAAGGGGGUGCUAAUACCGGAUAAUCUCUUCGGACCAAAGAUUUAUCGCCUUUGGAUGGGCCCGCGUUGGAUUAGCGAGUUGGUAGGGUAAAAGCCUACCAAGGCGACGAUCCAUAGCUGGUCUGAGAGGAGGAUCAGCCACACUGGGACUGAGACACGGCCCAGACUGCUACGGGAGGCAGCAGUGGGGAAUAUUGGACAAUGGGCGAAAGCCUGAUCCAGCAAUGCCGCGUGAGUGAUGAAGGCCUUAGGGUUGUAAAGCUCUUUUACCCGGGAUGAUAAUGACAGUACCGGGAGAAUAAGCACCGGCUAACUCCGUG
This 433-nucleotide ribosomal RNA is filed under the name uncultured bacterium. RNAcentral describes it as "partial 16S ribosomal RNA". It matches the Rfam family "Bacterial small subunit ribosomal RNA", at positions 29 to 507 of the family's 1533-position model. The record is from RNAcentral.